UGGAAGCCCCCUACGAAGUGGGGAAAGGGCAUUUCUGAACCUUCAGUUCCUAUUGCUGGGUCCUUUGUGACGCUUAGGCCACCCAACUCCAAUCUGAUUCUCAAAUGACACUUUCCCUCACUGGCCAUAGACCCACCACACGAAGCCAGCAACCCUCUCGUUCACACCUAUCUUGGUCAUCCAUUCCGCUCAGUCCUCUGGUCCUCAGCUACCCUCUGGUUCAGUCUCCCAUCUUAACCAGUCCUGGCACCUCCUCUCUCCUGUCAGCCAACCCCACACUCCUUCAGUACUGGUCACAGCCUCUCCAGCGGGCCUCAGUUCCAGAUCCAUCCCCCAAUUCGACACCCCUAGUCCUGGCCCUUCUCUCCCAUAUUUAUAAGUGUCCGGUCGGGGCGGGCGGUGGGCGCGGCGUCCCCGGCGCAUAUCGUAGGCAGUGUACUGUGGCCGUGCCGUCAGCGUGUGCGUGUGCGUGUGUGCCGUGUC
RNAcentral lists this long non-coding RNA (483 nucleotides) under Rattus norvegicus (Norway rat). RNAcentral's name for it is "long non-coding RNA NONRATT023557". The record is from RNAcentral. Lineage: Eukaryota; Metazoa; Chordata; Mammalia; Rodentia; Muridae.